RNAcentral lists this ribosomal RNA (831 nucleotides) under uncultured bacterium. RNAcentral's name for it is "bacterial SSU rRNA". It matches the Rfam family "Bacterial small subunit ribosomal RNA", at positions 58 to 869 of the family's 1533-position model. The record is from RNAcentral.
GAAGUUGAGUGCUUGCAUUUAACUGAUUUGACAUUAAGACGAGUGGCGAACUGGUGAGUAACACGUGGGUAACUUGCCCCGAAGCGGGGGAUAACAUUUGGAAACAGGUGCUAAUACCGCAUAACAACAAAAACCACAUGGUUUUUGUUUAAAAGAUGGUUUCGGCUAUCACUUUGGGAUGGACCCGCGGCGUAUUAGCUAGUUGGUGAGGUAAUGGCUCACCAAGGCAAUGAUACGUAGCCGACCUGAGAGGGUAAUCGGCCACAUUGGGACUGAGACACGGCCCAAACUCCUACGGGAGGCAGCAGUAGGGAAUCUUCCACAAUGGACGAAAGUCUGAUGGAGCAACGCCGCGUGAGUGAUGAAGGGUUUCGGCUCGUAAAACUCUGUUGUUGGAGAAGAACGGGUGUCAGAGUAACUGUUGACAUCGUGACGGUAUCCAACCAGAAAGCCACGGCUAACUACGUGCCAGCAGCCGCGGUAAUACGUAGGUGGCAAGCGUUGUCUGGAUUUAUUGGGCGUAAAGCGAGCGCAGGCGGUUUUUUAGGUCUGAUGUGAAAGCCUUCGGCUUAACCGGAGAAGUGCAUCGGAAACCGGGAGACUUGAGUGCAGAAGAGGACAGUGGAACUCCAUGUGUAGCGGUGAAAUGCGUAGAUAUAUGGAAGAACACCAGUGGCGAAGGCGGCUGUCUGGUCUGCAACUGACGCUGAGGCUCGAAAGCAUGGGUAGCGAACAGGAUUAGAUACCCUGGUAGUCCAUGCCGUAAACGAUGAGUGCUAAGUGUUGGAGGGUUUCCGCCCUUCAGUGCUGCAGCUAACGCAUUAAGCACUC